Long non-coding RNA from Hippocampus comes (tiger tail seahorse), 1357 nucleotides. RefSeq lists it as uncharacterized. The record is from RefSeq and is a predicted model, not a curated record. Lineage: Eukaryota; Metazoa; Chordata; Actinopteri; Syngnathiformes; Syngnathidae. The transcript is spliced from 3 exons.
CAUUUCGGCCCACAAGUGCUCGACUUCAUUUAAAACAGGCAGCAAUUAUUUGUCGAUUCGUUUUAUUAGACGAGUCUCUCUUUAAAAAGCACACUCGGCAGUGUUGCAAGUGAACGUCUCUUUGCUCGCGCUCAGACCAAAGGCAUUAACCUAAUUUCCAUCCUUUCUGUUACAAUUGACCGGAGAGUUGGAUGCUUCGCUUCCUUUCCAGAAUCAAACAGUCCUGAGGCAUUGUGUGUGUGUGUGUGUGUGGGUGUGUGUGUGUGUGUGUGUGUGUGUGUGUGUGUGUGUGUGUGUGUGUUUGAAAAGCUUGAGCGAUACAAGCAAAUGCGAGAACAUUAAUCGUCUUUCUCCUCAUGAUUAUCAUCAAUCAAUUCUCCUUUAUAAGUCCGUCUUUAUUCCUCUCGUACAUGCACAUACUAGUCAAUUGGGUAACAGCGGAUGGCAGAACAGGGCCAUGUGAUACGCACGCACCCCCCCCGCAUGGGGGGUGUGGGUCAUAUGAUGGUGGAAGGACACACAAAGGGAGAAUGUCAGAGCCACAAUCACGUGAGAGCUUCUAAUCUGCUUAGAUACACAGGUGGUUCGAGUGACUUGGUGCUUUUGCAGCAAAGCAAUGCACCUGCAAAAAAAAAAAAAAAAAUCACACGACUAUCAUUGUUGAAAUUAUUUCAAUAUUCCCGAUUGCGUAAAAGAAGGAUAUACACACGUAUGACGUUUUUGUGAAACGUUUUGUGACGACAAGGAGAAACAAGACUAUCUAUGGCUACUGUAUUUGGAUUCAUAGGGAUACGCCAACUAAAGGCCUUAUCCAACUUUAUGAUCUUGAAGCCGUUAUGUUUGGAAGAGUAACCUUCAAAGCGUCAGGAAAAAGAUGCACUUCAUCAUGUUCGAUGAUUUAAAUAAUAAGCUAAUGAUGGAUGGAUGGAUAAUAUGGACGGACAAAUAGCUACGGAUGGAUGGAUGGAUGGAAUAGACAAAGCGGCAGACUGAUGGACAGCAAUGGGGAGUUGUUUGUAUUUAGCGCAUGUUGGCCAUGCCAGCGUCAACGCGAUCAUCUGAACCAAACAGCCCUUUCGUGUCUAAAAUUUACACCCAUUUCUCGCCCUUACAUCACAGACAUUCCCACAUUGGUCGUGCCAGUGGGGGGGAAAAGACCUUCCGCAUGCCACCCUGAAGUGACGCUUGCUUUCACACGUCAGGCCGCGACGCGAGUUCGUGGGACUGGGUGCGUGCGCAGUGACGUUCACGGACCAAUCACAGAAACCAGCCUCCCCCCACCUCUUAAAAAAAGGUUGGCGACCGCUCUUCUAAAACACCUGCCAACAACCUGCGUUGACCUCAUGUCACCUGAACA